This 24-nucleotide non-coding RNA is filed under the name Arabidopsis thaliana (thale cress). Lineage: Eukaryota; Viridiplantae; Streptophyta; Magnoliopsida; Brassicales; Brassicaceae. The record is from RNAcentral.
AUCAACCGAUUUAUUGAAUUCGAG